UGCCCUGCACUUCGGGACAAGCCCUGGAAACGGGGUCUAAUACCGGAUGACACCCUCUCCCGCAUGGGGGAGGGUUGAAAGCUUGAGGCGGUGCAGGAUGAGCCCGCGGCCUAUCAGCUGGUUGGUGGGGUGAUGGCCUACCAAGGCGACGACGGGUAGCCGGCCUGAGAGGGCGACCGGCCACACUGGGACUGAGACACGGCCCAGACUCCUACGGGAGGCAGCAGUGGGGAA
This 234-nucleotide ribosomal RNA is filed under the name uncultured bacterium. Its description in RNAcentral is "partial 16S ribosomal RNA". It matches the Rfam family "Bacterial small subunit ribosomal RNA", at positions 127 to 361 of the family's 1533-position model. The record is from RNAcentral.